AUGAGGCUUUGGUUCCAUUUAAUGUUCAUUGUAGCGACUUUGGAAGGUGUCCGGUCCCAGGUGCAGCUGGUGGAGUCCGGAGGGGAUGUGAAAAAGCCCGGAGACUCUCUCCGCCUCUCCUGCACAGCCUCCGGGUUCACCUUCAGCAGCUACAGGAUGGACUGGGUCCGCCAGGCUCCCGGGAACGGGCUGGAGUGGACCGCCAGUAUUUAUACCACUGGCAUAUACUACAGUGACUCGGUAAAAGGGCGAUUCACCGUCUCCAGAGAUGACCCCAACAGCCUGUUGUACCUGCAAAUGACCGGCCUGAAACCCGAGGACACCGCCCGGUAUCACUGUGUGAGACACCGGCAGGGCUCGUACAAAAACCAGAGACGCAGAACCGCCCUUCCGCUAUGCGCCGCGCUGGGGCAGCACUUCCACAAACAAUCCAACCCUUCAGUAUCAGAGGGGUAG
Mauremys mutica (yellowpond turtle) is the source of this 456-nucleotide non-coding RNA. NCBI's taxonomy places the organism in Eukaryota, Metazoa, Chordata, Testudines, Geoemydidae. The record is from the annotation of a RefSeq genome assembly.